GAUGAACGGCUGGCGGCGUGCCUCAAACAUGCAAGUCGAGCGGGGCUAUGUAAUAUCGCAAGGUAGAACAUAGCCUAGCGGCGAACGGGUGAGUAACACGUGGGUAACCUGCCUGGAAGACAGGGAUAACGAUUCGAAAGGGUCGCUAAUACCUGAUAAUAUCCUUUCAUCGCAUGGUGAUAGGAAGAAAGGGGAAACCCGCUUUCAGAUGGGCCCGCGUCCCAUCAGCUAGUUGGUAAGGUAAAGGCUUACCAAGGCGACGACGGGUAGCCGGUCUGAGAGGAUGUACGGCCACACUGGGACUGAGAUACGGCCCAGACUCCUACGGGAGGCAGCAGUUGGGAAUCUUAGGCAAUGGACGAAAGUCUGACCUAGCGACGCCGCGUGAGGGAAGAAGGCCUUCGGGUUGUAAACCUCUGUCAUGGGGGAAGAAGGAAGUGACGGUACCCCAAGAGGAAGCCCCUGCUAACUACGUG
Molecule: ribosomal RNA, 476 nt
Filed under: uncultured bacterium
Lineage: Bacteria
Description: bacterial SSU rRNA
Rfam family: Bacterial small subunit ribosomal RNA
Source: RNAcentral